CAGCCGCCGCGGUAAUACGUAGGUGGCAAGCGUUGUCCGGAAUUAUUGGGCGUAAAGGGCUCGCAGGCGGUUUCUUAAGUCUGAUGUGAAAGCCCCCGGCUCAACCGGGGAGGGUCAUUGGAAACUGGGAAACUUGAGUGCAGAAGAGGAGAGUGGAAUUCCACGUGUAGCGGUGAAAUGCGUAGAGAUGUGGAGGAACACCAGUGGCGAAGGCGACUCUCUGGUCUGUAACUGACGCUGAGGAGCGAAAGCGUGGGGAGCGAACAGGAUUAGAUACCCGAGUAGUCCCUGUCUCUUAUAA
This 301-nucleotide ribosomal RNA is filed under the name uncultured bacterium. RNAcentral's name for it is "partial 16S ribosomal RNA". It matches the Rfam family "Bacterial small subunit ribosomal RNA", at positions 509 to 809 of the family's 1533-position model. The record is from RNAcentral.